UUGCUUUAGCAGCACAUACACUGAACUUGGAAGGAUACAGAGAUUAGCAAGGCCCCUAACACAAGGAUGACACACAUAUUUGUGAAGCUUUCCAUAUUUUU
This is a small nuclear RNA of Cavia porcellus (domestic guinea pig), 101 nucleotides long. NCBI's taxonomy places the organism in Eukaryota, Metazoa, Chordata, Mammalia, Rodentia, Caviidae. The record is from Ensembl.